This 465-nucleotide ribosomal RNA is filed under the name uncultured bacterium. Its description in RNAcentral is "partial 16S ribosomal RNA". It matches the Rfam family "Bacterial small subunit ribosomal RNA", at positions 28 to 507 of the family's 1533-position model. The record is from RNAcentral.
GACGAACGCUGGCGGCGUGCUUAACACAUGCAAGUCGAACGGUGAACUCCGCUUGCGGGGGGAUCAGUGGCGAACGGGUGAGUAACACGUGGGCAACCUGCCCUCAGCUCUGGGAUAACUCCAAGAAAUUGGGGCUAAUACCGGAUAUGACCGCUGACCGCAUGGUCUGGUGGUGGAAAGAUUUAUCGGCUGGGGAUGGGCCCGCGGCCUAUCAGCUUGUUGGUGGGGUAGUGGCCUACCAAGGCGACGACGGGUAGCCGGCCUGAGAGGGUGACCGGCCACACUGGGACUGAGACACGGCCCAGACUCCUACGGGAGGCAGCAGUGUGGAAUAUUGCGCAAUGGGCGAAAGCCUGACGCAGCGACGCCGCGUGGGGGAUGACGGCCUUCGGGUUGUAAACCUCUUUCAGCAGGGACGAAGCGAAAGUGACGGUACCUGCAGAAGAAGCACCGGCCAACUACGUG